This 557-nucleotide ribosomal RNA is filed under the name uncultured fungus. Its description in RNAcentral is "eukaryotic LSU rRNA". The stretch from base 179 to 332 matches the Rfam family "5.8S ribosomal RNA". The record is from RNAcentral. Lineage: Eukaryota; Fungi.
UGGGGUCUCAUCCUCUCCACCCAUUGUUUACCGACCACGUUGCCUCGACGGACCAGCAGCUCCGGCUGCCUCUGGCUCAACCCCUCACCGGGGGAGCGGCCUUUGAGCGUCCGUCGAUGGGACCAUCCAAAACUCCUUUUGAAAAUCAGACGUCUGAAUCAAAUAUUUAAUACUUCAAAACUUUCAACAACGGAUCUCUUGGUUUUGGCAUCGAUGAAGAACGCAGCGAAAUGCGAUAAGUAAUGUGAAUUGCAGAAUUCAGUGAAUCAUCGAAUCUUUGAACGCACAUUGCGCCCUCUGGUAUUCCGGAGGGCAUGCCUGUUCGAGCGUCAUGUAAAGAAAAAUCAAGCACUUUGCUUGGCCUUGGGCCCCUCGCCCCCGUCACAGGGGGCGGGCCCUAAAUGCGUCGGCGGUGGUCGAAGGCCUCGAGCGUAGUAGAUUAUUCCGUCUACGAGCGCCGGCGACCGCCCGCUUCCAGACAACCAAAUUUUUACCUAGACAUUGACCUCGGAUCAGGUAGGGAUACCCGCUGAACUUAAGCAUAUCAAUAAGCGGAG